UCUUUGCCUGUUUGCCUUGUAGGACAGAGCAUCUGCUAGAUCCUUGGCUUUCCCUUCACAGCUGCUGCUGGCCGUUGUUGGAGAGCUGACUUGGAAGGUGAAGCUUAUUGUUGAAGAUGGCAGACCCAGAUGUUCUCACUGAAGUUCCCGCGGCAUUGAAGCGGCUAGCCAAGUAUGUCGUCCGGGGCUUUUAUGGUAUUGAGCAUGUCUUGGCCUUGGACAUCUUGAUCCGGAACCCCUGUGUAAAAGAAGAGGACAUGCUGGAGCUGCUCAAGUUUGAUCGGAAGCAACUUCGAUCCGUUUUGAAUACUUUAAAGGGAGACAAGUUCGUCAAAUGCAGAAUGAGGGCAGAGACUGCUGCAGAUGGGAAGACCACCCGCCAUAACUACUACUUCAUCAAUUACCGCACUCUUGUUAACGUAGUGAAAUAUAAGCUGGACCACAUGAGAAGGAGGAUUGAAAUGGAUGAGAGAAGUUCCACCAGUCAGGCUUCCUUCAAAUGUCCUGUCUGCUGCAGCACUUUCACUGACCUAGAUGCUAAUCGGCUGUUUGAACCUACGACAGGAACUUUCUGCUGCACCUUUUGCCACACAGAGGUAGAAGAAAAUGAACCAGCAAUGCCCAAAAAAGAUGCUCGCGCGCUUUUGGCAAGAUUUAAUGAACAAAUUGAGCCCAUUUAUGCAUUGCUUCGAGAGACAGAGGAUGUCAACUUGGCCUACGCAAUACUUGAACCAGAACCCAUGGCAAUCCCAGCCCUGAAGCUGAGCAAGGACCGAGCAGCAACUGCUGCUGGAGCUGCUGGCCUGGCAGGUGGAUGUCACCGGGAGGCACAGACCAACAAAGCCCCCUCCUAUGCGGAUUUGUAUACUCAGAAUGUUGUCAUCAACACGGAUGACCAAGAUGUUAUGCAUCACACCUCGCUGGAAGGGAAAGCUGCCAAACAGAGACCCGUUUGGUUGAGAGAGAGCACGGUCCCAGGGGCGUACAGUUCUGAAGAGAGGAAGGAAGGUGGCAUGGAUGUGGACACAGUUCAGGAGCGCAAGCAAGCCCGCACAAGGCCUGAUGACAAUGAGGUGGUCAUGCGCGUUCUACUCAUUCAUGAGAAAAAGACUUCUUCGGCGACCACAGCUGGCUCGGUGGGAGCAGCGGCUCUGGCGAGGGCUGCUAAUAACAGUGACUCUGAGAGUGAGACCAGUGAGUCGGACGACGGCUUUCCACCCCGGCCAGCAGCUGCCGCUCCUCCUCAUCGCCAUGAAGAUGAGGAAGACGAAGAGUUUGAGGAAGUAGCAGGUGACCCCACUGUUAUGGUGGCUGGCUAUCCAUUUUCCUUCAGUGAAGUUAGCCAGCGGCCAGAGCUGGUAGCCCAGAUGACACCAGAAGAGAAGGAAGCAUACAUAGCCAUAAGUCAGCGCGUUUUUCGGGAUCUCUUUGAGUGAGCUUUCCCUGCUUUUUCCUGCCGUUAGCCCAUUUCAGAGAGAAACUUCCCAUCAAGUGCUUAAGGGCCUUCCCACCUCUUUAUGUAAAGCACCUGUUAAUCUAAUACAGACGCAUAGUAAGAGAAAAUGAUUUUAUUUAUUUAUUUAUUUAUUUUUACUGUAAGGAACAUCCCAGAAAGGUAGAAAGGUUAUAUUCAGUUCCCUCUUAUUACUAAAGUAUUAAUAUCUUUCUCUAUUUCCUUAUCUAUUUUUUCCUUUUCCCUUUUAAGACAUAUUUUUCUCACCCUGACUAAAAUGUUCCUGUCUCUUCAGAACCCUACUUUGGAUUAAACAUCCCCUAGUCUUGUAGCUGCACUGUGGUCAGGCAUUUGAGACAAUUCCUUAUAUUCCUGUCAACCAAAGCAGCUUACCAAGAAACAGACCACUGCUUAGGGGAACACCCAAACAUGUCACCUUCCUCAAAACUGAGUGGGGUCCACUCUCCUAGGAGUACAGGAGAAAGGGGUGCCUGAAUCUUAGGGUUGUGUGUAAACUAGAAUCCAUGUCUGUAGAAGGCAUAAGGCUGGUAGAUUGUUUCAUUUUCAUAGACCUUUUGAGCUAUACUUUAGGUGACAGAUAACAAAGCAGGUUAGGUAAGGAGUCUCCAGUGUUGAAGAACAGAGCACUGGGAACUGUGCCUUAGAGCUGCCUCAGAGCAAUUUGGAAGUCUCAGAUUUAAAGCUGAGACUGGCCCCACUUCCCCCACUUCCCCCACUUAUUCCGUAGACCUAUGCUAGUGCUCUGAAUUGAAGAGCCUUUCCAGUCCAGAGCAGUAGAGAAGUGCUGAUUGCCCAGCUCUCCUCACUCUUCCAAAGGUCAUCAAAGCCUUUAUUUGUCUCUCUUUCAAACAUUCAGUGCCUCUACUGUGUUGUUGAGCAUUGUAACCUCAAGGAAUGUAGUCAUUAGCAUGGUGUUAUUCCUGAAGGCACAACUUUCAAAAUAAAGGUUUUCAUAUAAGGUCUACAACAAUUAAUUUUUAUAGUAUUUUCCCUUACAUUGUGACGUUUAGUUAUCAAUUUGUUGUAUAUGUGUGAAGCUAAGAACAAAGAAUCUGAGCCUGGUGUAACGAGAUGACAUUGUUGCCUGGUUGUUGGAUGACUGAACAUUGACAGUCUACUUACUGCAGGUCAAAGCUGGUUAACUUCUAGCUCUAACUUCUUGGAGCACAACUAGAAUGAGCACUCUCCCCAUUGAAAGAUGUUAGAGGCUUCUGACUGGCCAUCAUCUAAGAGCAUAGGUGUAAUUCUAUGUGAUUUAAACUUUUUUUGGCAAUGCAUUGCCUUAAGAAAACCUUUUUAUGUAUUUAUAUUAAAUUCACAAACUGUUAAACUUUAAAGUUUUGUUUUUUAAACUUUCAUGGUUGUAGAAAGAUGUUAAUUUGUAAAACAUUAAUUUUAAAACUAUGCUCUUUGUUGCAUUUUAUCUCAGAUUGUAUUAUAAUUAUAAUUAUAAAUGUAUUAACAAAGGCACUCAUUUCUCAUUAAAGCUGCAUU
This is a non-coding RNA of Mus caroli (Ryukyu mouse), 2968 nucleotides long. Lineage: Eukaryota; Metazoa; Chordata; Mammalia; Rodentia; Muridae. The record is from RefSeq and is a predicted model, not a curated record.